RNAcentral lists this long non-coding RNA (2423 nucleotides) under Canis lupus familiaris (dog). Its description in RNAcentral is "lncRNA (ENSCAFG00040021276.1)". Lineage: Eukaryota; Metazoa; Chordata; Mammalia; Carnivora; Canidae. The record is from RNAcentral.
AUGCAUCGCUGGCUCUUCAUGACUAGCACAGCCAUGACUCAUGGUCCUAAGAAGCAUCUGAAGCAUGUGGAAGCUCCAAAGCAUUGGAUGCUGGAUAAACUGACUGAUGUGUUUGCCCCUUGUCCAUCCAUUGGUCCCCAUCCUACCAGAUGGAUAUCAAAAACCAUCUAUUGCCCACUGUGCCAUCCUAGCCAUUGCUAGGCGGAAGCUGAGCUAGAAGACUAAGCAGGUGCUCCAGCCACUGUUCAAGGACAUCUUCAAGGGCAGCCAGUUUACCACCUGCUGGGUUUCCUUCCUCAUGUGAUUUACCUGGAAUUUAAGAGGAAUACAGAUCCUGAAAUGUGUGAACCAACUGUUGUGAGCCUACCUGGGAAAUUAAUGACUAUCUGAUCAUCUGGAUUUGGAAGCAAUCAAUGAAUAGAAACAACAUGCAAGGUGUAUGCUUUGACUAGGAUAAGAAAUGGCUUAUCAAUCAGAUGUUCACUGCUUGGAUGGCACAGGGAUCUUUGCAGAUGCAUCUGUGCCUGAGUGGAACCUCUACUGACUUAUUUAUGAUAGACUUUAUCAAAACAAAUGUUUUUGACGAUGAAAAGACAAAAUCAUCAUCAUCAUCAUCAUCAUCAUCAUUAUCUACCCAGCUUCCUUGUUUAUAGGAUCAUAAGGAAUUGUGUCCAUUUUACUAAUGAAGAUGCUAAGGUUCAGAAGUGUUAAAUGACUUCUCCAAAGUCACACAGCUUCCAUGGACAUGAAGCAGCUCCCAAAGCCACAUCUUUAAUAUGGCUCUGUUCUAAAAGGGAGCAUCAAUGUGAGUUACAAUGAAAUUUUCAUAACCUAAUUGACCAAUAAACUUCAUAAAUAAUGACAACCAUAAAUAUAGUAUUUCUUUUAAUAUAUUUGCACUCAGCUCUGGGAAUAAUAAUCUAAACAGAGACACUAUUUAGAUUUCAUUCAUUCAUAACCACCCAUUACAUUGAGAGCACAGGGCUAGAAUUCUUCAAUGAAGAAUAAACAAUAGAUAUUUUCUUCUCUACUUGUAUGCACACUAAUAAUAGAAUCUUAAAAUGAGUUCUGUAGUCCUUCAAGGUAAUAAAACCUACCCAUUUUGACAUUGAGCUGUCCGUUAUCCAAUACAGAGCAAUUUUCUUAUUAAGACAAUUUUCAAAGCAGUUUUAGGUUCAUAGCAGAAUUAAGGGGAAGAUACAGAAGUUUCUCAUAUACCCUGACCCUACACAUACAUAACUUCUCCUGUUAUCAAUAUCCCCCACCAGAGGGGUACAUUUGUUACAGUUGAUGAACCUAUACUGACACAUCAUUAUUACCCAAACUCUGCAGUUUGCAUUAGCACUCUUGGGGUACAUUCUAUAGGUUUGGACAAAUGUACAAUGACAUGUACCCAUCAUUGUGGUAUCACACAGAAUAAUUUCACUGCCCUAAAAAUCUUCUAUGCUCCACCCAAUUAUCCCUCUCCACUCCCAACUCCUGGCAACCAAAGAUCUUUUUACUAUUUCCAUAGUUCACCUUUUGCAGAAUGCCAUGUAGUGGGAAUGAUAUAGUAUGUAGCUGUGAUAUUGUGAUUUAUAAUAAGAAACAUAUUUGGUUUUCCUCCAGUUUCUGGCACAGAGAUCUUAAAACCCUAGGAAUUUCCAAAGUGGUGAGAGCAACAAAGGUGUCUUUUGAUAUGUUAAUGAGUUGACUUUUGGACUGUACCUAAGGAUGGGGGCUGGUUGUCAGAGGAACCAACUCUGGCAUUAGAGUUGGAACUUUCAGCCCCACUCCCCAUGAGAGAGGCGAGGGGUCUGGAGAUUGAGUUCAAUCCCCAAUGGCCAAUGAUUUAAUCAGUAGUGCCUAAGUAAUGAAACUUCAAUAAAAACCCAAAAGAUGGGCUUAGAGAGCUUCCAGGUUGGUGAAUUCGUGGAGGUGCUGGAAGAGUGACAAACUCUGAGGGCAUGAAAAAUUCGAGCCCCCUUUACCCACAGCUUCUCUUAUGUACCUUUUCUGUCUAGAUGUUCUCAAAUUAUAUCCUUUUAUGAUAAACCAGCAAUCUAGUAAGUAAAAGGUUUCUCUGAGUUCUGUGAGCUGCUACUGCAAAUUAACAGCCCCAAGGAAGGGAGUUUUGGAACCUCUAAUCCAGUCAGUUGGCCAGAAGUAUAGGGGACAACCUAGACUUGCAACUGGUAUCUGAAGUGUGUGUGUGGCAGGGAGAGCAGUCUUGAAGGACUGAGCCCUUAACCCAUGGGAACUGAUGCUAUCUUUAGAUAAAUGGUGUCAGAAUGGAGUUGAACUGGAAGACACCCAGCUAGUAUCGGAGAAUUGCUUAUUGGUGUGGGGAAGACAUCCUCACCCCUGCAUUGGCAUUGGCACUAGAAUAUGGAGUAGCCUUUUCAGAUUGGCUCCUUUCAGUAAGUAGUAUGCAUUUAAGUUUC